ACCGUUCAUGAAUUGGAUUUUUUCUUAUCCUUUCUGGAUUCUUCUAAUUACAUAGAGGUUUGAGGAUGCGUCAAAUUACAUAAAGAUCUGAUUUUUAUAUGAAGAAAAAGAAGGCACGAAAGUAAGUUCUCUUCUUCUUACGUAAAUGUCCUGGCAUGCACGCGGUAGCAUAGAGAAGGCUCUCGGUUGGAUAACAGUACACCGCCUUAAUCCUCUUUCAACACCC
Molecule: non-coding RNA, 226 nt
Organism: Erythranthe guttata (spotted monkey flower)
Lineage: Eukaryota; Viridiplantae; Streptophyta; Magnoliopsida; Lamiales; Phrymaceae
Source: RefSeq, a predicted model, not a curated record